CGAGGGAGAUUGACAGAGGGUUUCCGGUUUGGUAGAGCUGGUUGUCAUCAGCAUAGCAGUGGAAGUGAAUGUUAAAUUUGCAGAAGAUAUUGCCAAGGGGAAGGAGGUAGAUGAUGAAAAGGAGGGGCCCCAGGACGAAGCCCUGGUGCACACCUGAAGUGACCGAGGAGGGGGUGGGUUUAAAGGA
This is a long non-coding RNA of Thalassophryne amazonica, 187 nucleotides long. RefSeq lists it as uncharacterized. NCBI's taxonomy places the organism in Eukaryota, Metazoa, Chordata, Actinopteri, Batrachoidiformes, Batrachoididae. The record is from RefSeq and is a predicted model, not a curated record. The transcript has 3 exons.